This 515-nucleotide ribosomal RNA is filed under the name uncultured bacterium. RNAcentral's name for it is "bacterial SSU rRNA". It matches the Rfam family "Bacterial small subunit ribosomal RNA", at positions 355 to 887 of the family's 1533-position model. The record is from RNAcentral.
UGGGGAAUCUUGGACAAUGGGGGCAACCCUGAUCCAGCCAUGCCGCGUGAGUGAUGAAGGCCUUAGGGUCGUAAAGCUCUUUCGCCUGUGAAGAUAAUGACGGUAGCAGGUAAAGAAACCCCGGCUAACUCCGUGCCAGCAGCCGCGGUAAUACGGAGGGGGCUAGCGUUGUUCGGAUUUACUGGGCGUAAAGCGCACGUAGGCGGAUCGUUAAGUGAGGGGUGAAAUCCCAGGGCUCAACCCCGGAACUGCCUCCAAAACUAUUGGUCUAGAGUUCGAGAGAGGUGAGUGGAAUUCCAAGUGUAGAGGUGAAAUUCGUAGAUAUUUGGAGGAACACCAGUGGCGAAGGCGGCUCACUGGCUCGAUACUGACGCUGAGGUGCGAAAGUGUGGGGAGCAAACAGGAUUUAGAUACCCUGGUAGUCCACACCGUAAACGAUGAAUGCCAGUCGUCGGGUAGCAUGCUAUUCGGUGACACACCUAACGGAUUAAGCAUUCCGCCUGGGGAGUACGGUC